Molecule: ribosomal RNA, 396 nt
Filed under: uncultured bacterium
Lineage: Bacteria
Description: bacterial SSU rRNA
Rfam family: Bacterial small subunit ribosomal RNA
Source: RNAcentral
AUUUCACAAUGGGGGAAACCCUGAUGCAGCGACGCCGCGUGAGUGCAGAAGUAGUUCGGGAGGUAAAGCUCUAUCAGCAGGGAAGAAAAUGACGGUACCUGAUUAAGAAGCCCCGGCGAACGACGUGCCAGCAGCCGCGGUAAUACGUAGGGGGCAAGCGUUAUCCGGAUUUACUGGGUGUAAAGGGAGCGUAGACGGCAGCACAAGUCUGGAGUGAAAUGCCGGGGCUUAACCCCGGAACUGCGUUGGAAACUGUGCAGCUAGAGUGCAGGAGAGGUAAGUGGAAUUCCUAGUGUAGCGGUGAAAUGCGUAGAUAUUAGGAGGAACACCAGUGGCGAAGGCGGCUUACUGGACUGUAACUGACGUUGAGGCUCGAAAGCGUGGGGAGCAAACAGG